This 450-nucleotide ribosomal RNA is filed under the name Blochmannia endosymbiont of Camponotus textor. Its description in RNAcentral is "bacterial SSU rRNA". It matches the Rfam family "Bacterial small subunit ribosomal RNA", at positions 379 to 821 of the family's 1533-position model. Lineage: Bacteria; Pseudomonadati; Pseudomonadota; Gammaproteobacteria; Enterobacterales; Enterobacteriaceae. The record is from RNAcentral.
AACCCUGAUGCAGCUAUACCGUGUGUGUGAAGAAGGCCUUAGGGUUGUAAAGCACUUUCAAUGGGGAAGAAUUUAAUAUUGCUAAUAUCGAUAUUAAUUGACGUUACCUAUAUAAGAAGCACCGGCUAACUCCGAGCCAGCAGCCGCGGUAAUACGGAGGGUGCAAGCGUUAAUCGGAAUUACUGGGCGUAAAGAGUACGUAGGUGGUUUGUUAAGUCAGAUGUGAAAUCCCUGAGCUUAACUUAGGAACUGCAUUUGAAACUAAUAAACUAGAGUUUCGUAGAGGGGGGUAGAAUUCCAGGUGUAGCGGUGAAAUGCGUAGAGAUCUGGAGGAAUACCAGUGGCGAAGGCGACCCCCUGGACGGAAACUGACACUCAGGUACGAAAGCAUGGGGAGCAAACAGGAUUAGAUACCCUGGUAGUCCAUGCCGUAAACGAUGUCGAUUUGAA